Molecule: ribosomal RNA, 1473 nt
Filed under: metagenome
Description: bacterial SSU rRNA
Rfam family: Bacterial small subunit ribosomal RNA
Source: RNAcentral
AGAGUUUGAUCAUGGCUCAGGAUGAACGCUGGCGGCGUGCUUAACACAUGCAAGUCGAGCGAAGCGGUUUAAAUGAGACUUCGGUGGAUUUUAAACUGACUGAGCGGCGGACGGGUGAGUAACGCGUGGAUAACCUGCCUCACACAGGGGGAUAACAGUUAGAAAUGACUGCUAAUACCGCAUAAGCGCACGGCAUCGCAUGAUGCAGUGUGAAAAACUCCGGUGGUGUGAGAUGGAUCCGCGUCUGAUUAGGUAGUUGGUGGGGUAACGGCCCACCAAGCCGACGAUCAGUAGCCGACCUGAGAGGGUGACCGGCCACAUUGGGACUGAGACACGGCCCAAACUCCUACGGGAGGCAGCAGUGGGGAAUAUUGCACAAUGGGCGAAAGCCUGAUGCAGCGACGCCGCGUGAGUGAAGAAGUAUCUCGGUAUGUAAAGCUCUAUCAGCAGGGAAGAAAAUGACGGUACCUGACUAAGAAGCCCCGGCUAACUACGUGCCAGCAGCCGCGGUAAUACGUAGGGGGCAAGCGUUAUCCGGAUUUACUGGGUGUAAAGGGAGCGCAGACGGCGAUGCAAGUCUGGAGUGAAAGCCCGGGGCUCAACCUGGGCAUUGCAGCGCGAACUGUGAGACUUGAGUGCGCAGGAAGUAGGCGGAAUUCGUCGUGUAGCGGUGAAAUGCUUAGAUAUGACGAGGAACUCCGAUUGCGAAGGCAGCCUGCUGUAGCGCAACUGACGCUGAAGCUCGAAAGCGUGGGUAUCGAACAGGAUUAGAUACCCUGGUAGUCCACGCGGUAAACGAUGGAUGCUCGCUGUUUGCGUCUGACGUAAGCGGCCAAGCGAAAGCGUUAAGCAUCCCACCUGGGGAGUACGCCGGCAACGGUGAAACUCAAAGGAAUUGACGGGGGCCCGCACAAGCGGAGGAACAUGUGGUUUAAUUCGAUGAUACGCGAGGAACCUUACCCGGGCUUGAACUGUAGGCGAACGAUUCAGAGAUGAAGAGGCCCUUCGGGGCGCCUAUGGAGGUGCUGCAUGGUUGUCGUCAGCUCGUGCCGUGAGGUGUCGGCUUAAGUGCCAUAACGAGCGCAACCCUUGUUCGUAGUUGCCAUCGGUUAAAGCCGGGCACUCUGCGAAGACUGCCUCCGUAAGGAGUGAGGAAGGUGGGGAUGACGUCAAAUCAGCACGGCCCUUACGUCCGGGCUACACACGUGUUACAAUGGCAUGUACAGAAAGCUGGGUGUAUGCAAAUACGCUCGAAUCCCUAAAACAUGUCUCAGUUCGGACUGGGGUCUGCAACCCGACCCCACGAAGCUGGAUUCGCUAGUAAUCGCGCAUCAGCCAUGGCGCGGUGAAUACGUUCCCGGGCCUUGUACACACCGCCCGUCAAGCCAUGAAAGCCGGGGGCGCCUAAAGUCCGUGACCGCGAGGGUCGGCCUAGGGUGAAACCGGUGAUUGGGGCUAAGUCGUAACAAGGUA